GACGAACGCUGGCGGCGUGCCUAAUACAUGCAAGUAGAACGCUGAAGCGAGGAGCUUGCUCUUCUUGGAUGAGUUGCGAACGGGUGAGUAACGCGUAGGUAACCUGCCUGGUAGCGGGGGAUAACUAUUGGAAACGAUAGCUAAUACCGCAUAACAACAGUUGUUGCAUGACAGCUGUUUAAAAGAUGCAAUUGCAUCACUACCAGAUGGACCUGCGUUGUAUUAGCUAGUUGGUGAGGUAACGGCUCACCAAGGCGACGAUACAUAGCCGACCUGAGAGGGUGAUCGGCCACACUGGGACUGAGACACGGCCCAGACGCCUACGGGAGGCAGCAGUAGGGAAUCUUCGGCAAUGGGGGGAACCCUGACCGAGCAACGCCGCGUGAGUGAAGAAGGUUUUCGGAUCGUAAAGCUCUGUUGUAAGAGAAGAACGGGUGUGAGAGUGGAAAGUUCACACUGUGACGGUAUCUUACCAGAAAGGGACGGCUAACUACGUG
Molecule: ribosomal RNA, 497 nt
Filed under: uncultured bacterium
Lineage: Bacteria
Description: partial 16S ribosomal RNA
Rfam family: Bacterial small subunit ribosomal RNA
Source: RNAcentral